This 61-nucleotide transfer RNA is filed under the name Calathus luctuosus. RNAcentral's name for it is "tRNA-Leu". Lineage: Eukaryota; Metazoa; Arthropoda; Insecta; Coleoptera; Carabidae. The record is from RNAcentral.
UGUGGCAGAUUAGUGCAAUGAAUUUAAGCUUCAUAUAUAAAGAUGUAGCUUUUAUUAGAAA